Molecule: long non-coding RNA, 2426 nt
Organism: Syzygium oleosum
Lineage: Eukaryota; Viridiplantae; Streptophyta; Magnoliopsida; Myrtales; Myrtaceae
Exons: 2
Source: RefSeq, a predicted model, not a curated record
UUUGCCCUCCCCUCUCUCUCUUCAUUAAUUGCCGUCACCUAAUCUGUCCUUCUCCCGCUGGCGUUCCCCCCUCUCUCUUCUCUGUUCUUCCUCACAGCUUGCACGAAAGGCCUCAAACAUUUUCUCUCUUUUUCAAAUUUCUCUCCCACCCAAGAGCGAGCCCGCCGGUACCGAGCUCAGAUCCGCCGCUUCCGGCACGUCGCCUCCGCCUCUGCCGUCGCCUCCAGGAGCCACUCCCUCAAGCCGAGAGCCCGCCGAUCGCAUUACAAGCUUAGAUCCGCGCCUCCGCCACGUCGCCUCCAGGAGCCAGCCCGCCGGUCGCAGCUGCUGUGAGUGUUAGAAACCCAAAGGUUCAGACUAAUAUUAUUAAGGCAAUGGGAUGCUUCAGUGUAGGUUGCUUGGUCUAAUGCUCGUUGUCUUCGUUUGCACGUAUAUAUAUGUUCUAUGGUAUGGAACUUUGCUCAUUUUUAUUCCAUCGAGAGUGAGUUCAGAAAGUAACUGGUAAUAAUGACAGGUUUUAGAAGUUUUUGUUCAACUUUGAUUUUCAGUUUGGCUUCAACUUGCAGGUCACGGUAGGAGGAUUGAAUUCAAAAGUUCACUCGAGAAAGAUCUCGUUCCAAGAGAAUUCGUGCAGCAAAAGUCUAGUCAAUUUGCUAAAAUCUAAGCAAGAAUUUCAAUACGGUGGGUAUGCCCAUGGAGAAUUUGAACUCGGGAAGCAAUGACACCGUCAGCAAAUGCAUUGACAUAGUUUGUGACUGGGAGAUUUGUUCGUGUGUAUAUUAGAGCCGAAUGCAGAACUCAGAAUUUAGUUCGCUUGCCUGUUUUCAUAAUGACAUUGAACUCAUAGGAUGUUGCUCAAUUGCUCAGGAAAGUUUCUGUUCUAUCUGAUAACAGUUUAAUUUUGGCCCCUUCAACAUUGCUCUCGCUACUGAGAGUGUGCAUCCAAAGCUUGGUUGCCUGAAAAGCUGUGUAAAAGAUUUUCACCAUAUCCGGAUGACAAUCAUUGUCAGAAAACAGAAGUUCGAGAGAACAAUGCCACUCUUAACUAAUUGAUGUUAUGAUCUACUGUUGAUUCUACAAAUUAACCAUAACCUGCACAUAUUUGAGAUGUCCGACUUGGCCACCGGUUGUAAGUUUGGUGAGACUGAACUAUAUGAAACAUACUUGAUCCUGCCAUGUUCUAUUACUAUUCCGAAUCUAGUCAUCUCAGCCUCACAAAUGCUCUACUAUUGCCCCAUAUUAUAUCUCCUUAAUUUUGGUGCGGCCGUAACAUUCUCUGUUUUCACGCACCGGAAAUUGUCAUGCAUCCAAGUUCUGCAUUGGGCAUAGACAUGGCUUCUCAAGCUUCUGUUAUCAACAAAUUUUGAAGAAGAAACCUUCAAAAAAACGAGAUGGGAUUCCUGCGGCAAAUCACUUUUUUAAGGCUUUCAAUUUUCGCAGGAUGUUGAACACCAGCAAAAUGAGCUGUUCUGGCAGUACUAAUAGACUCGUCCCUUCCCAGUCUUUCUAGUUUCUACGCACAUACAAAUGUUACCAGAACACAAAUUAAGAGGGUAAGCCAGCAGCCGAGUCAAAAAGUGCCCAUCUCCAUAUGGCAUGUGAAGCUAACACCAGAAAAUAACAAUCACCCGCAGAAAAGGACAUCAUUCCAAGCCCAUCUCCCUUUCAUAAUUGCCAAUCUAUGGGAUCAAGUCCGAUGUUCUCCAGAAUCUGGUUUGUGCGAGAAAAAUGCCUGUUUGAUUUGUAAAAUCGGGUUAUUAUCUCAAGUUACAUUUGACUGCUUGAAAAUUGUAUCUAAUGGAAGGAAAGGACAUGAAGAAACGCUGCCCCUGAAGCCACUUCAACAGCUUUCAAGUUAUUAAAUUCAAAAGAGACUGCACUUGAACUGUUAUCAUUUGGUGUACAGGACUGGUCUUCGUGUGCACACAGGCAGACAUCAUUUAUCUCAGUACUAAACAUUACUCUAAGAACAUGAAGAUUUAUGAGAUUUGCACGACUCCGUGGCAUCUACAUUCAUGAAACCAGCCCCAGCAAGCUUUACUCAUAAUAUGCCGGGUUCCCUUGACAUUUAACGGCACAAAUUUAGUUCUAAAGAGUGAACAACUCUUCAGUGAAAGUCACUGGAUGUCAAACCUGACUAGAAGUGAGAAGGUUUUCUAUUACCCUAUAGAGCCAUCACUAGAACACCCUACAUGGUCUAGGGACGAAGAUCACGAAGAGACCCACUGCCCAGCGGGUAAGCCGGUCUCGUCCGCGAGCAGGAACAACGAAGAAUGCGGAGGCGGAGGCGCGGAUCUGAGCUCGGGAUGCGACCGGCAGGCUCUUGGCUUGAGGGAGUGGCUCCUGGAGGCGACGUGCCGCAAGCGGCGAAUCUGAGCUCGGGACCGGCGGGCUCGCUCUUGGGAGGGAGAGAAAUUUGAAAAAGA